AUGUUCUGCAAGCCACCAGAGACUGGAUUUUAUCCUGUUCCAGCCCCAGCUCGGCCAGGCUGUGGUCAUCCUGGCUGGGGGAGAACUCGAGGCCCUGUGUGCCCUCCAGGGGAGCACUGCCUCAUUCCCUGGAAUCAUAAAGGCUUCGUCCGCCUGGCACUGAGGCACGGGUUCACUCAGGUGCCCAUGUACUCCUUUGGUUACCUAAAUCCAGCUAUAGGGCCUAGGAUUUACGAGAAUGGAGCCUUCACAGUUAAGCCUCCUGCGCCAGACUCCUGGCAGCAUCUGUUUCAGACCACCUUCAAGCAGCUCAUGUACUUUUCUCCUUGCAUCCUCUGGGGCUGCGGUCUCUUCUCAGCCAAGUCCUAGGGCCUGGUGCCCUUGGCCAGACUCAUCGCCUCUGUGGGGUUGAGAUACCGGCGCUAAUUAACGCCUCCGAGUGGCCUGCUGCUGCUGCUACUGCUGCUAAGUCGCUUCAGUCGUGUCCGACUCUGUGUGACCGCACAGACAGU
Capra hircus (goat) is the source of this 512-nucleotide long non-coding RNA. RefSeq lists it as uncharacterized. The transcript is spliced from 3 exons. The record is from RefSeq and is a predicted model, not a curated record. Lineage: Eukaryota; Metazoa; Chordata; Mammalia; Artiodactyla; Bovidae.